Molecule: long non-coding RNA, 970 nt
Filed under: Vitis vinifera (wine grape)
Lineage: Eukaryota; Viridiplantae; Streptophyta; Magnoliopsida; Vitales; Vitaceae
Description: long non-coding RNA (VVIN_LNC007841)
Source: RNAcentral
AGAUAUAUGACAAAUAGCACCCUAGGUUUUGUUUUUGUUUUGUGUGUGUGUGUGUGAUUGGCUUUAGAUCAGAAAUUUCUGGAUGGAAUGCCUUAGUUAUUUUGAGUAUCACACAUCACAUUGUUAAAUUAUAAAUUCAUGCAACUUGUCUUGUUUCGCAUAUACCACAACGAAAAGUGAUAUUCAUUUGAGAGAAGGUUGAAUAAUCAUUUGAUGUUGUAGUUGGUGACUAACCAUUUGAACAUAUACCUUAUAGGACUAAUAGGUUUUUGUUCUAAUGAAUUAUUACUUGAAAGCAUUUAGUUGUCGCACUAAAUUUCAUUCCUUAGAUGAAUGUAUCAAAUACAUUGGUCACUCUAACAUUUGUUUUAAUGAAAAAUAACCUUGAAGCUUGAAUAUAUUUCACUUUUUUUGAGUAAGCAAAGAUUUAAUUUAUUAACAACGACUAACAAAAGAAUGCACAAAAGCAUACAGAAGUGCUAAAAGGUUAAACAAAGCAAAGGGAUACACAAAUCAACUCUCUCAUACUACUUAAAGCUUAGUCAGUCAUUGAUGUCCAUCAUGGACAAUGAACAAUCUUCUAUGUACACUUCAACACCCUUCAAAAAUUAUACAUAAAAGAUUGUUUGAUCCGAUUUUUCAAUAUCAUCAAAUGCUCUUCUAUUUCUCUCAUUUCAUUUGGUUCAAAACAAGCACAAGGGAGCAGCUCUCCAAACUUUCUUCUUUUUCUUUCUAACAAAAGAUCCAUGCCUUUUGGCCUUAUAACACAACUUUGCUUGCUUCACAUCAAGCUAGCCCACUCCACUCUUGCUUGCCAUGCUCUAGAAAAACUGGACCUUCCUCCCUCUCAAUAGGCGACUUUUGCCCCACAACAUGUAACCUCCAUCCCUUUCAAGGUACGCUAUAUCCAAAACCAUUCUCCUUCCAGUGUGUGGACCCCACAACAUUGUCUCCGAUCUCCUCCUUNNNN